GUGUCAGGAGGUUGGUCGUGCCACCGGUACGUACUGGUCUCACUGAUUCCUCCUUCCUGAACAACCGUAAUGCCAUUAAUUUGGUGUUGCGGGGAAACAGGACUGUUACUUUGAAAAAAUUAGAGUGUUUAAAGCAAGCUAACGCUUGAAUACAUUAGCAUGGAAUAAUGAAAUAGGACGAUCGAUCCUAUUUUGUUGGUUUCUAGGAUUGACGUA
Molecule: ribosomal RNA, 216 nt
Filed under: Glomeromycotina sp.
Lineage: Eukaryota; Fungi; Glomeromycota
Description: partial small subunit ribosomal RNA
Rfam family: Eukaryotic small subunit ribosomal RNA (bases 40-216)
Source: RNAcentral